RNAcentral lists this ribosomal RNA (466 nucleotides) under uncultured bacterium. RNAcentral describes it as "partial 16S ribosomal RNA". It matches the Rfam family "Bacterial small subunit ribosomal RNA", at positions 28 to 507 of the family's 1533-position model. The record is from RNAcentral.
GAUGAACGCUGGCGGCGUGCUUAACACAUGCAAGUCGAACGAUGAAGCCCAGCUUGCUGGGUGGUUUAGUGGCGAACGGGUGAGUAACACGUGAGUAACCUGCCCUUGACUCUGGGAUAAGCCUGGGAAACUGGGUCUAAUACUGGAUAUGACUUCUCAUCGCAUGGUGGGGGGUGGAAAGAUUUAUUGGUCUUGGAUGGACUCGCGGCCUAUCAGCUUGUUGGUGAGGUAAUGGCUCACCAAGGCGACGACGGGUAGCCGGCCUGUGAGGGUGACCGGCCACACUGGGACUGAGACACGGCCCAGACUCCUACGGGAGGCAGCAGUGGGGAAUAUUGCACAAUGGGCGCAAGCCUGAUGCAGCGACGCCGCGUGAGGGAUGACGGCCUUCGGGUUGUAAACCUCUUUCAGUAGGGAAGAAGCGAGAGUGACGGUACCUGCAGAAGAAGCGCCGGCUAACUACGUG